Molecule: non-coding RNA, 107 nt
Rfam family: Bacteroidales small SRP
About the family: The non-coding component of the signal recognition particle in Bacteroides
Source: Rfam
UAAAAACGGGCAAGUCUUACACGGCCAGCUCCCUGUGAAUCCUCCAGGACGGGAACGUAGCAAAGGUAACAGGUUGUAGCGGUGCGAUGUAAGUAGCUUGCCCACCC